GGAGAGAUGGCUCAGUGGUUAAGAGCACUGACUGCUCUUCCAGAGACCCUGAGUUCAAUUCCCAGCAACCACA
RNAcentral lists this transfer RNA (73 nucleotides) under Mus musculus (house mouse). RNAcentral's name for it is "tRNA-Ser". The record is from RNAcentral. Lineage: Eukaryota; Metazoa; Chordata; Mammalia; Rodentia; Muridae.